This 447-nucleotide ribosomal RNA is filed under the name uncultured bacterium. RNAcentral's name for it is "partial 16S ribosomal RNA". It matches the Rfam family "Bacterial small subunit ribosomal RNA", at positions 329 to 792 of the family's 1533-position model. The record is from RNAcentral.
GACCAGACUCCUACGGGAGGCAGCAGUGGGGGAUAUUGCACAAUGGGGGAAACCCUGAUGCAGCGACGCCGCGUGUGGGAAGACGGUCCUCUGGAUUGUAAACCACUGUCCCCAGGGACGAAGAUGACGGUACCUGGGGAGGAAGCUCCGGCUAACUACGUGCCAGCAGCCGCGGUAAUACGUAGGGAGCGAGCGUUGUCCGGAAUCAUUGGGCGUAAAGAGUUCGUAGGUGGCACGUUAAGUCUGGUGUUAAAGGCGGAAGCUCAACUUCCGUAGGGCACUGGAUACUGGCGAGCUUGAAUGCGGUAGAGGUAAAGGGAAUUCCUGGUGUAGCGGUGAAAUGCGUAGAUAUCAGGAGGAACAUCGGUGGCGUAAGCGCUUUACUGGGCCGUAAUUGACACUGAGGAACGAAAGCCGGGGUAGCAAAUGGGAUUAGAUACCCCAGUA